This 64-nucleotide non-coding RNA is filed under the name Dermacoccus nishinomiyaensis. Lineage: Bacteria; Bacillati; Actinomycetota; Actinomycetes; Micrococcales; Dermacoccaceae. The record is from RNAcentral.
GGAAUGCCGGUGCGAAUCCGGCAGCGGUCCCGCCACUGUGAUCCCCGACGGGGUAAGCCAGGAC